CGCGUGUGGUCUCCCGUCCGUCUGUUCUAGGGCAUUGGGUCCGUCGCGUCCCAUUCGGUUUCUGAGAAAUACUCUGCAAGGUUCAGGGUCGUUGAUCCCUUUACACGUUCAUCGAACAAACGUACUGCGUACUAGACUUGUCUUGACUGAAGCUUGCUCAGAAUGAGCGCCUCUCUAGUGCGUAAAGGGCUGGAUCUUUUCAGUGAAGAUUUGACGAAUCAAUCAGCAAAAACAAAGAAGGGCUCAAGUACAGCAUCUGGUUCAACAACUAACAAAACUGGACUGAAGAAGCUGAAGCAGGCAGAACAGAAACAUAAACUGGGAUCUGCUCCUGAGCUGACCAUCAAGGGCAAGAAGGUCAAAUCUUCACUGAAAAAGUACAACCAGCACAAAUCAAAGGAUAACACAGAAGAAACAAUUAAGUACCUUCAACUUCUCAGUAGUAAGAAGACAAAUCCAAAGGUUGCAGAGCAGGUGGUUGAGUAUCAGCAACGGCGCUCUGCUAGGCCUGUCCCCUGCUCAGCAGAAGGCAAAGCAGCCCAAGUCUUGUUUCUCAGAAGAGGACUUUGCCCGAUUCGAGCGGGAAUACUUUGUUGGUCCGCGUAAGAGGCCGGCCGCGUGACGUGCCUGGUUCUGACUUCGACUGAGUGAACGGGCGAGCGCCUGACCGCUUCAGCGUCGCAAGCAUAGCGCGCCGGUCCUACACUCCAAGCGCUCGGCGGGGUCAGUCCUCAGAGCGGAACCAAUACAC
Long non-coding RNA from Pollicipes pollicipes, 751 nucleotides. RefSeq lists it as uncharacterized. NCBI's taxonomy places the organism in Eukaryota, Metazoa, Arthropoda, Thecostraca, Pollicipedomorpha, Pollicipedidae. The record is from RefSeq and is a predicted model, not a curated record. The transcript has 4 exons.